Molecule: ribosomal RNA, 379 nt
Filed under: uncultured bacterium
Lineage: Bacteria
Description: bacterial SSU rRNA
Rfam family: Bacterial small subunit ribosomal RNA
Source: RNAcentral
UAAUACGUAGGUGGCAAGCGUUGUCCGGAAUUAUUGGGCGUAAAGCGCGCGCAGGCGGCUUCUUAAGUCUGAUGUGAAAUCUCGGGGCUCAACCCCGAGCGGCCAUUGGAAACUGGGGAGCUUGAGUGCAGAAGAGGAGAGUGGAAUUCCACGUGUAGCGGUGAAAUGCGUAGAGAUGUGGAGGAACACCAGUGGCGAAGGCGACUCUCUGGUCUGUAACUGACGCUGAGGCGCGAAAGCGUGGGGAGCAAACAGGAUUAGAUACCCUGGUAGUCCACGCCGUAAACGAUGAGUGCUAGGUGUUAGGGGUUUCGAUGCCCGUAGUGCCGAAGUUAACACAUUAAGCACUCCGCCUGGGGAGUACGGCCGCAAGGCUGAA